This is a non-coding RNA of Ictidomys tridecemlineatus (thirteen-lined ground squirrel), 809 nucleotides long. Lineage: Eukaryota; Metazoa; Chordata; Mammalia; Rodentia; Sciuridae. The record is from RefSeq and is a predicted model, not a curated record.
AUCACAUUUUAAAGGAAUAAAGAGAGAAGAAAGGAAGAGAGGAAGACAGCACCGGAAACCAGCUUGCAGGCUCACCCUCCUGGCACUGGCCUUCUGGUGUCCCUGGGCAUGGCUGCUUUGGCUCCGCAGUGCCCUCUGUUUGGACAGCUGCUCCUCUCCAGGGCAGCAGUAGGCUCUGCCUUGUCCUUCAAGGCUCAGCUCCAACAGCCCCUCCUCAGGGGAUCUUCUCCAACACCAACCUGAUUGCCCUGUGUGACGUUCUUCUGAGCACUUAUCGCCACCUGAAAUGGUCUUGCUUACUGAUGCAUGUAACAGUCCCUCAGGGGGGACCUGAGCAGAACCUCACUGCUGGACCCUCAGCAUCCAGAGUGGCACUCAGUCAAGAUUUGCUGAAGGAGCCAGUGAACAAACGGAUGAUUCCCUAACCUCUAACCAAAUAAGUCAAAAGAUGAUCAUGGAAUGCAGUGGGUGGACUAUCACUCUGGAGUGUGGUGCUUCAGAACAAGUGAGAGGCAUGCGUUUGCAGCUAGCCUUGGUGAGGUGGCGACUCCAGGAGGCAGGGGGGCUGGGCUCUCUGAAAGAGGACCAGUCAACAGUGGACAGACACACAGAUGCAACUGAUACUUGCCCAAGCACAGCGCCUGGAACAGGCAAGCAUGAAAUGAACUAAUGAAUUAAUGAACUGGAACUAAAGAAGUUGGAGAAGCCUACAAUGCUGGAAUCCUCACCACCCAUCCAAUGUACUGUAAACAACAAAUGACUUAAACAAAACAUACCAAAUAACUCAUUAAAAUAAGCCUUCAACUUCA